AUUUAAAUAGCUUAUAUUUAGAGCGUAACAUUGAAGAUGUUAGGGAGAUUGUUAAAUCUUUAAAUA
This 66-nucleotide transfer RNA is filed under the name Chagasia sp. SP54_C. Its description in RNAcentral is "tRNA-Phe". It matches the Rfam family "tRNA". From Rfam's summary of the family: Transfer RNA (tRNA) molecules are approximately 80 nucleotides in length. Their secondary structure includes four short double-helical elements and three loops (D, anti-codon, and T loops). Further hydrogen bonds mediate the characteristic L-shaped molecular structure. tRNAs have two regions of fundamental functional importance: the anti-codon, which is responsible for specific mRNA codon recognition, and the 3' end, to which the tRNAs corresponding amino acid is attached (by aminoacyl-tRNA synthetases). tRNAs cope with the degeneracy of the genetic code in two manners: having more than one tRNA (with a specific anti-codon) for a particular amino acid; and 'wobble' base-pairing, i.e. permitting non-standard base-pairing at the 3rd anti-codon position. The record is from RNAcentral. Lineage: Eukaryota; Metazoa; Arthropoda; Insecta; Diptera; Culicidae.